Molecule: transfer RNA, 80 nt
Filed under: Pythium aphanidermatum DAOM BR444
Lineage: Eukaryota; Oomycota; Peronosporomycetes; Pythiales; Pythiaceae
Description: tRNA-Leu for anticodon UAG
Rfam family: tRNA
About the family: Transfer RNA (tRNA) molecules are approximately 80 nucleotides in length. Their secondary structure includes four short double-helical elements and three loops (D, anti-codon, and T loops).
Source: RNAcentral
GGUACGAUGGCCGAGUGGUCUAAGGCGCUGGAUUUAGGCUCCAGUCUUUCGGGGCGUGGGUUCAAAUCCCACUCGUAUCA